Molecule: ribosomal RNA, 1313 nt
Filed under: Trilepida macrolepis (big-scaled blind snake)
Lineage: Eukaryota; Metazoa; Chordata; Lepidosauria; Squamata; Leptotyphlopidae
Description: partial 16S ribosomal RNA
Rfam family: Bacterial large subunit ribosomal RNA
Source: RNAcentral
AAACCUAGUUCAACUCUUUCUCACAAACUUUCCUAACAUUACUAACCAAAACAUUUGAUAUGACUAGUAGAGGAGAUCGAACAUCAACUUAAACACAACAGAAACAGUACCGCAAGGGAAAGGUGAAAUAUAUACCUCAAGCCCAAAAAAGCAAAGAUAAAUCCUUGUACCUUUCGCAUCAUGGUUUAGCAAGACAAUAUAAGCGAAAAGACAAAGUUUAAAACCCCGAAACCAAGUGAGCUACUUCCAAGUAGCUAAACUGAGCGCAUCCCCCUCUGUAGCAAAAGAGCGGAAAAACUUAGAAGUAGCAGUGAAAAGCCUACCGAACUUGGCAAUAGCUGGCUGCUCAACAAUGAAUUUUAGUUCACCCUUGAUUUCCCUACUACCACAAAACCAAGUCAAGGAAAUUCACCAGGGGUCCAGCCCUGGUGAAACAGGAUACAACCUAUACACUGAGAGGACGCCCAUCAUUUUUUCCCCGUAGGCCCCAAAGCAGCCCCCAAAAUAAUUGCGUCAAAGCAUAAGACUUAAAAAUAUCACAAAAACUCUUCACCUCCAGUUAACUAUUCCGAGCGACUCUAUCUUAAUAGAAAACCCAAUGCUAAAACUACUAACAAGAAUAGCUCUCCAGACACUCCUAUCAAUCAGAAAUAGACACACUACUGAUACUUAUCGGAUAGAAAGAGAUAACCCAAUAUCCAAAUCUCCACCACACCGUGACCCCAACACAGGAAUGUCCAAACGGAAAGAUGAAAAGCCACAAAAGGAACUCGGCAACCCCUGACUCCAACUGUUUACCAAAAACAUAGCCUUUAGCCACUACUAGUAUUAAAGGUAACACCUGCCCAGUGAGAAAAUCUUCAACGGCCGCGGUACCCUAACCGUGCAAAGGUAGCAUAAUCACUUGUCCACUAAUUAUGGACUAGCAUGAAAGGUCGCAUGAGAGUCAAACUGUCUCUUCUGGCCCAUCAGUGAAACUGAUCUUUCAGUCCAAAAGCUGUAAUAAAUCUAUAAGACGAGAAGACCCUGUGAAACUUUAACGACCCAUUAACAAUCAUUAAUGGUACUUUCGGUUGGGGCGACCUUGGAGUAAAACAAAACCUCCAAACUCAAAGAAAAUCCUUACCUACCAGGCCAACACGCCACUAUACGACCCAGCAAAGCUGAUAAAUGAACCAAGCUACUCCAGGGAUAACAGCGCCAUCUUCUUCAAGAGCCCAUAUCAAAAAGAAGGUUUACGACCUCGAUGUUGGAUCAGGGCACCCAAGUGGCGCAGCCACUACUAAAGGUUCGUUUGUUCAACGAUUAACAGC